Molecule: long non-coding RNA, 2046 nt
Filed under: Coffea arabica (coffee)
Lineage: Eukaryota; Viridiplantae; Streptophyta; Magnoliopsida; Gentianales; Rubiaceae
Description: long non-coding RNA (CARA_LNC005968)
Source: RNAcentral
CGGUCCUUAAGAAUCUAGUAUUGGACUAGCCCAUGUCUAUAAGUUCUCACUAGCGUUGGACUAGCGAGAAAUCGAAAAAAUAGGCCACAACUAGCAUUGGACUAUUGUAGUAAUGUCAUGCAUUUAUUAUAACAUAAGAAAUCAUUCAAACAUAAUUAAAGCAAGUAAGCACGUAAGCACAUAAAGCACAUAGAACAUAAGCAUAAUAUAUAAAUGCAAAUCUCCUAAGAAAGCGAGUAAAACACGUAAACACAUAAGCAUGCAAGCACACAAGCAAAUAAAUACAUGAGAACCUAACUAUUACAUUUGGGACCCUAACUACAAUCUAAAGGGGAAAGUUAAAAAAAACCUAACUAUUACAUUUAUUUAACUAAUUACAUUUUUGGCAAAAUUGGAACCUAUCUAUUACAUAUUCUAACUAAAUACAUGUCUUGAGCACCUAGCUAUUACAAUUUGGCAUUUAAAUGCCUCUUAAAUAAUCACCAAAAUUAAAUAAAAUAAAUGAAAUUUAAAAUGAAUAAUAAUAAAUAAAAGAAAAACACUCAAAACAUGUAAUUGCACAUAAAAAAUGUUUGAGCACAUAAAAUGAUUUAAAAUAAUAAAAGAAGUUACCUUCCUUGAAGUGGUGGUUAAAUGGGUGAAAUUUGUUCUAUUUAUACUCCAAGAUCAACAAAAUGAUUAAGGCACCAAUUUAAUUAUAAAAAAUAAAAACAAUCAUGAAACUAUUAAUUAAAGCACUUAAAUGAAGUAUAAUUAACAAUUAAAGAAUAAAAGUAACUUGUAUUUAAGAAAUCAAAACUAUCAGGACCUAAAUGCAAAAAUUGAGAAAGUUUUGGGAUCAAAUUAUUAUUAUUGCAAAGAUUGAGGGUCAAAAUCAAAUAAAAAUAAAUUUUAGAGACCAAAUUGCAAUUAAAUUAGGAACCUGAUUGAAAUAACUCAAAAGUUUUAGUGCCAUAAUAUAAUUACUUAAAAUACAGGGACCAAAUUGCAAAUUCGUUUUCUGAUUUCUUGAGUAAACAUAGGCCUUUGGGCCAUCUUAUUAUUUCUUUGAGCCAGAACUCCCACUGGCUCAAUUGAAGUCCAAAGCAAAAGUACAGGCCAGUCCAACAUUUUUGACACAAAUAAAUUCAACAAAAGUAUGGGCUUUCACCUUCCAAACCCAUAUGAAACCCAAUCAAAUCAAAUCAAAACCCACUUCCAAAACCCAAUCAAACUAAACCAAGUCCAAACCCUAAACUAUUUUACCAAAACCCAACAAGAUAAUAAAUCAACUAAAAAUCAUUAACCCUAACUAUGUCCUAAAUCCCAGAAAUAAUCUACCCAAAAGACCACUUAAAAAAAUGAAAAAGAUGAUUAAAACUUAAAAGGGGCAAAAAUGAUUUAUUUGUAGAGGUUUUUAGGCAACAGUGGGAAUAUUUAAAAGUCCAGGGGUCAAAAUGAAAAUUUCAAAACUUUCCAUGCAUCUUGCCAGAAUCUUUCUUGCAGUUUUCUUCUACAUUCUUUCUACUGCAACCUUCUUCUCACGUAUACAUGACAUACUCAAAGCAAACAGGAGCCUAAUAAGAUCAUGCAAUUUAUGGACUUUAUUUCCAUCAUCCAACAUCAAAGAUUCACCAACACAACAAGAAAUAUUUGGCAAGAAAAUCAUCUAAAACCCAGCAUAGCAAAGGAAGGAGAAUGGCUCAUCAAACCAGCAACACAAAUUCGGUUGUUCAUGUACCAUGGGUUUAAAUCUUUGUAAGAAAAAGUGUUAAAUCAGCAAGGAAAUGAGUUAUAGUUACCUAAGGAUGAAUCCUAGACAAGAUGAGAGCCAAAGAAACGAUCAGAGACCUGUUUCCGAAGGAUUUUUCGCAGAUUUGCGGGUGCACCACUGAAGUCAACCUGCGGAUUUGGGAAGCGAAUUUAAGGGCCUUAUCGACACUUUUUUGUGAGAAAUUCUUGAACAAAAUCUUCUCUUCCAACUCCCUAGUCUACGAAGAAACCAAGAUCUAAUCAAACCAAGCUACCAGGGAAGAGAAAAUUGGGUCGCAAGAUGACCCAAAAACC